AACGAACGCUGGCGGCAUGCCUAACACAUGCAAGUCGAACGAGACCUUCGGGUCUAGUGGCGCACGGGUGCGUAACGCGUGGGAACCUGCCCUUAGGUUCGGAAUAACUCCCCGAAAGGGGUGCUAAUACCGGAUAAUGUCUUCGGACCAAAGAUUUAUCGCCUUUGGAUGGGCCCGCGUUGGAUUAGCUAGUUGGUAGGGUAAAAGCCUACCAAGGCGACGAUCCAUAGCUGGUCUGAGAGGAUGAUCAGCCACACUGGGACUGAGACACGGCCCAGACUCCUACGGGAGGCAGCAGUGGGGAAUAUUGGACAAUGGGCGAAAGCCUGAUCCAGCAAUGCCGCGUGAGUGAUGAAGGCCUUAGGGUUGUAAAGCUCUUUUACCCGGGAUGAUAAUGACAGUACCGGGAGAAUAAGUUCCGGCUAACUCCGUG
This 433-nucleotide ribosomal RNA is filed under the name uncultured bacterium. Its description in RNAcentral is "partial 16S ribosomal RNA". It matches the Rfam family "Bacterial small subunit ribosomal RNA", at positions 29 to 507 of the family's 1533-position model. The record is from RNAcentral.